AUUGAACGCUGCGGCAUGCCUUACACAUGCAAGUCGAACGGCAGGCACGGGAGCAAUCCUGGUGGCGAGUGGCGAACGGGUGAGUAAUAUAUCGGAACGUGCCCAGUCGUGGGGGAUAACGUAGCGAAAGCUACGCUAAUACCGCAUACGAUCUAUGGAUGAAAGCGGGGGAUCGCAAGACCUCGCGCGAUUGGAGCGGCCGAUAUCAGAUUAGGUAGUUGGUGAGGUAAAGGCUCACCAAGCCGACGAUCUGUAGCUGGUCUGAGAGGACGACCAGCCACACUGGGACUGAGACACGGCCCAGACUCCUACGGGAGGCAGCAGUGGGGAAUUUUGGACAAUGGGCGCAAGCCUGAUCCAGCAAUGCCGCGUGCAGGAUGAAGGCCUUCGGGUUGUAAACUGCUUUUGUACGGAACGAAACGGUGAGCUCUAAUACAGUUUGCUAAUGACGGCACCGUAAGAAUAAGCACCGGCUAACUACGUG
RNAcentral lists this ribosomal RNA (484 nucleotides) under uncultured bacterium. RNAcentral describes it as "bacterial SSU rRNA". It matches the Rfam family "Bacterial small subunit ribosomal RNA", at positions 30 to 507 of the family's 1533-position model. The record is from RNAcentral.